This 258-nucleotide ribosomal RNA is filed under the name Triticum aestivum (bread wheat). RNAcentral describes it as "partial small subunit ribosomal RNA". The record is from RNAcentral. Lineage: Eukaryota; Viridiplantae; Streptophyta; Magnoliopsida; Poales; Poaceae.
AUGCCUACAAAAAAUCAAUUGAUUCAUCAUGGUAGAGAAGAAAAACGGCUGAGCAAUCGACAUGAUAUAUUUGCUCACAUUCCAGGCGAAGGUCAUAAUUCGCAGGAACAUUCUAUAGUCUUAGUCAGAGGAGGUAGAGUGAAAGAUUCGCCAGGUGUGAAAUCCCAUUGUAUUCGAGGAGUCAAGGAUUUGCUGGGAAUUCCGGAUCGUAGAAAGGGAAGAUCUAAAUAUGGUGCAGAAAGACCUAAAUCGAAAUGA